UACCAUAGGAAGUUGAUGUGACUUCGGUGA
Molecule: non-coding RNA, 30 nt
Filed under: Mus musculus (house mouse)
Lineage: Eukaryota; Metazoa; Chordata; Mammalia; Rodentia; Muridae
Source: RNAcentral